GGUUGCGAUCAUACCAGCACUAAUGCACCGGAUCCCAUCAGAACUCCGCAGUUAAGCGUGCUUGGGCGAGAGUAGUACUAGGAUGGGUGACCCCCUGGGAAGUCCUCGUAUUGCAACCCC
RNAcentral lists this ribosomal RNA (120 nucleotides) under Helianthus annuus (common sunflower). Lineage: Eukaryota; Viridiplantae; Streptophyta; Magnoliopsida; Asterales; Asteraceae. RNAcentral also lists the same sequence under 1 other name. The record is from RNAcentral.